GUAGCAGUUUUUUCUAUCGCUGUCAUUUUAUCAUGGCAGAGGAAAGUCGGGACAGCACAGAGCACCAUACUUCCUAACAGGAAGGUUCUGCCCUGGUGGAGCAGAAACAGCAAGUGCCACAGAAAAUUACCGUCCUGCAUUGCAGGAUAAGGGUGAAAACGUGAGGUAAGAGCUCACGCUGUAUUAUGGCGACAUAAUACAGGGGUAAACCUUAUGGGCUGAAAGACCAAAUAUAUCAGGGAACCUGUUUCGGCAGGUUAAGGGCUGCUCGUCCGAUCCUGAGGGGUAGGUCGUUAGAGCUUGCCGGCAACGACAAGCCCAGAUAAAUGAUAGAAAUUGCUACCGGGUUUUACCCUGAUGCAAUACAGAAUCCCGCUUAUAAAACUGCUUUCCAC
Molecule: RNase P RNA, 395 nt
Filed under: Bacteroidales bacterium
Lineage: Bacteria; Pseudomonadati; Bacteroidota; Bacteroidia; Bacteroidales
Description: RNase P RNA component class A
Rfam family: Bacterial RNase P class A
About the family: Ribonuclease P (RNase P) is a ubiquitous endoribonuclease, found in archaea, bacteria and eukarya as well as chloroplasts and mitochondria.
Source: RNAcentral